AACGAACGCUGGCGGCAUGCCUAACACAUGCAAGUCGAACGAGAUCUUCGGGUCUAGUGGCGCACGGGUGCGUAACGCGUGGGAAUCUGCCCUUUGCUUCGGAAUAACAGUUAGAAAUGACUGCUAAUACCGGAUGAUGUCUUCGGACCAAAGAUUUAUCGGCAAAGGAUGAGCCCGCGUAGGAUUAGGUAGUUGGUGGGGUAAAGGCCUACCAAGCCGACGAUCCUUAGCUGGUCUGAGAGGAUGAUCAGCCACACUGGGACUGAGACACGGCCCAGACUCCUACGGGAGGCAGCAGUGGGGAAUAUUGGACAAUGGGCGAAAGCCUGAUCCAGCAAUGCCGCGUGAGUGAUGAAGGCCUACGGGUCGUAAAGCUCUUUUACCAGGGAUGAUAAUGACAGUACCUGGAGAAUAAGCUCCGGCUAACUCCGUGCCAGCAGCCGCGGUAAU
This 450-nucleotide ribosomal RNA is filed under the name uncultured bacterium. Its description in RNAcentral is "bacterial SSU rRNA". It matches the Rfam family "Bacterial small subunit ribosomal RNA", at positions 29 to 524 of the family's 1533-position model. The record is from RNAcentral.